This is a non-coding RNA of Flavobacterium hercynium, 36 nucleotides long. The record is from Rfam. Lineage: Bacteria; Pseudomonadati; Bacteroidota; Flavobacteriia; Flavobacteriales; Flavobacteriaceae.
AAGGUGGUAUCUGAAAAACCUUUAAAAGAGUAGGAU